UACGAAGGGGGCUAGCGUUGCUCGGAAUCACUGGGCGUAAAGCGCACGUAGGCGGAUUCUUAAGUCAGGGGUGAAAUCCUGGAGCUCAACUCCAGAACUGCCUUUGAUACUGGGAAUCUCGAGUCCGGGAGAGGUGAGUGGAACUGCGAGUGUAGAGGUGAAAUUCGUAGAUAUUCGCAAGAACACCAGUGGCGAAGGCGGCUCACUGGCCCGGUACUGACGCUGAGGUGCGAAAGCGUGGGAAGCAAACAGG
RNAcentral lists this ribosomal RNA (253 nucleotides) under uncultured bacterium. RNAcentral's name for it is "partial 16S ribosomal RNA". It matches the Rfam family "Bacterial small subunit ribosomal RNA", at positions 524 to 776 of the family's 1533-position model. The record is from RNAcentral.